RNAcentral lists this ribosomal RNA (248 nucleotides) under uncultured bacterium. RNAcentral describes it as "partial 16S ribosomal RNA". It matches the Rfam family "Bacterial small subunit ribosomal RNA", at positions 529 to 776 of the family's 1533-position model. The record is from RNAcentral.
AGGGGGCAAGCGUUGCUCGGAAUCACUGGGCGUAAAGGGCGCGUAGGCGGGAUGGCAAGUCGGUCGUGAAAUCCUUCGGCUCAACCGAAGAACGUCGGCCGAUACUGCCGUUCUUGAGGGAUGCAGAGGAGAUUGGAAUUCCCGGUGUAGCGGUGAAAUGUGUAGAGAUCGGGAGGAACACCGGUGGCGAAGGCGGGUCUCUGGGCAUCUCCUGACGCUGAGGCGCGAAAGCGUGGGGAGCAAACGGG